Molecule: small nucleolar RNA, 107 nt
Organism: Mangifera indica (mango)
Lineage: Eukaryota; Viridiplantae; Streptophyta; Magnoliopsida; Sapindales; Anacardiaceae
Source: RefSeq, a predicted model, not a curated record
AAUCCAUGUUAAGGGUACUUCCUUAAAAGGUCCUUGAAGAGCUCCCAUGCUUCAUACAAUGUUUCCAUCUCAUAUUGUCUAAAAGUGUUGAUGUCAUUAAUUAACUU